AACGAACGCUGGCGGCAUGCCUAACACAUGCAAGUCGAACGAGACCUUCGGGUCUAGUGGCGCACGGGUGCGUAACGCGUGGGAACCUGCCCUUAGGUUCGGAAUAACUCCCCGAAAGGGGUGCUAAUACCGGAUAAUGUCUUCGGACCAAAGAUUUAUCGCCUUUGGAUGGGCCCGCGUUGGAUUAGCUAGUUGGUAGGGUAAAAGCCUACCAAGGCGACGAUCCAUAGCUGGUCUGAGAGGAUGAUCAGCCACACUGGAACUGAGACACGGCCCAGACUCCAACGGGAGGAAGAAGGGGGGAAAAUUGGAAAAGGGGGGAAAGCCUGAACCAGAAAGGCCGGGGGAGGGAAGAAGGCAUUAGGGUUGUAAAGCUUUUUUACCCGGGAGGAAAAGGAAAGGACCGGGAAAAAAAGCCCCGGAGAAACCCGG
This 432-nucleotide ribosomal RNA is filed under the name uncultured bacterium. RNAcentral describes it as "partial 16S ribosomal RNA". It matches the Rfam family "Bacterial small subunit ribosomal RNA", at positions 30 to 506 of the family's 1533-position model. The record is from RNAcentral.